This is a regulatory RNA element of Treponema denticola ATCC 35405, 192 nucleotides long. It matches the Rfam family "TD-1 RNA". From Rfam's summary of the family: non coding RNA found in Treponema denticola NCBI's taxonomy places the organism in Bacteria, Pseudomonadati, Spirochaetota, Spirochaetia, Treponematales, Treponemataceae. The record is from Rfam.
GUUUAUCUGCCGAGUUUUGCACUUAUGAGUACAAAACUUCGCAUUAUUAUAUGUGUGUGCUUUUCGGCACACACUUGAAAAAACUUUUUUCACAAAUUGAUUCGCUAUCCGCUUUAGCGGAUACGAUGAAAAAUUUCCUUACAGAACAGAGCCGAAAGGCUCUGAUAUUUGCUGCAAAAAGUUUUUAUAGGA